AUAUUCAUCUGGGAAACACGUGUCCAAGCUACGUGAUGUAUUCCUAUUCCUUUUCAUCCAUUCUCUAUUCCAAGAAAAAUUGCUCUGCAAAAUGGAAGGGUUUUACAAGCCCUCAUAUGAAAUUCUCAGUUAAAUUGCAUACCUAGCUUCUUCCCUCCCUUCUCAUUUUUGUUUUGCCUUUUGAUUUUAGAUCCGUUUUGUCAAUUUUUUUUAUUCGAUGAGUUUCAAAUUUUCUUUAUAUAUCAAUUUUGUUGUUUAUGAUGUGGUAACUUUGCAUGCAUUAAAUCUAAAUUUGAUUCGAUGUUGUUGUUAUGGUCGUUUACUCCUCUUCUUCUUCGAUUUCCUUAAUUAUAGCUUUCUUUUUCAAUUUUUCAAUUGUUUCUCCUUUUGUUCUUGAUGUGGGUGUUUUUUCAAUUUGUUAUUUUUUCACAAAUAGGACUUUACAGGUACUUGGAGAAGAAACGAAAGGAAAGAAGCAGGGAACAUUGAGCAUUAUCAAGUACAUCGAACUUAAUCUUGAUUUUUUUUCUCGAAAAGACUUUCAACUGGAAGGAUUAGCAAUUAGAGUUACCCUAAUUUUACAACCCUUUCUCCUAUGUGGAAAGUCCAGUAUUUCUCCCACUUUAGUUGAUUUAACUUUCCAGUUGGAUAUGCAGUUUAAUUAUAAUGUUGAAUACUAACAUAUGUAUAUGUCAUAAGCAUAAACUAUAAUUUGCUUAUAUGACAAGGGAGACUUUCUUUGCACAUGAAGAAUUCUUUGUAAGAUAAGUUAUUUAUUUUUCAUAGGGUGCAAAAACAAUCUCAAUUUUUAACACAUCUUAUUCAUUUAUCUAAAAGCUAUGGAGAAUUACAGAUUUCAAUCAAUAGUAUAUCGCCUUCAGGGAAUUACAAAAUCGUCUCAGAGAUUUGUUCCUAUACCAUUUGCAUCUGAUGGUUUAACUGAAGAAUUUUAUGAUCUGGAUGCUUAUAACCCUGCUGAAAGUAAGUUCAUUAUGAAACUUCAAGUUCAUCCAGAACGAAUGAGCCAAGAAGAUAGUCACAAACUUGAUUUGCGUACAAUUAUAAAUUUCUAGUUCUACUAAAUUUUGAAAAACUAAUGAAGAUAUAAGUGUUUAGUUUAAAAUAAGCUAUAAGAUAGUCAUAUUAUAACUUAUUCAAUUAUUAAUUCAUUGAUGUAAACUGGUAUAACUUUUACCAGGAAUAGAGAGAAGACAUACAAAGAUACAUAAUAAUUAGGUGUCUUUUCCUCGAUCACAUUCAUAUUUAUCGGCUCCGUUGACUCCUCAAAGUCAAAGUGAAAUUCUUGAAGAAAGCUUUCAAGGUCACAAGGAAUGAUGGUGAGAAUCUCUUACCUGAGCCAGUUUAAGAUUUUGGUGAGUGAAUUCAUGUCGUGAGGAAGUUUGGAAAAUCAUCUAUUCAGAAAUCAGAAAAUUACAAUGCAAAGUUGAGCCAAUACACAGUAAAAUGGGUACCUUCUGUUGUGCUGCUCCUGAGUGUAUGACCACUGGUAAUAUACAAUUACAAUUUACUCCUAAUUGUUCUUGUGCUUUACCUGAGCUGAGCGUCAAUCGGAAGCCAAGUACAAAAGUAGUUAAAAGAUAGAGAUGGUGUCAUUAGGCAUAGCUUGGCUGGUCCAUUUCCAUCAGUUUCUCUGUUCAAUGAGUAUCAAAAUGUAGCGAUGGUUGUAAAUUCAUCAAUACCCACUGUACUAUGUCAUAUUUCCAGCAUUAGAUAGUAUGUUUAUCAAUAGUUUAGCCAAUUUUUAGAAUGUAUCCAAAUUACUUAAAAGUUGCACAGCUAGACUGUUUUAGCAUGAUAAAUGAUGUUCGAUCUGAAAUUUAAUAUGAAUUUUGUAUGUUACCCGUUGUUA
This is a long non-coding RNA of Solanum pennellii, 1870 nucleotides long. RefSeq lists it as uncharacterized. The record is from RefSeq and is a predicted model, not a curated record. NCBI's taxonomy places the organism in Eukaryota, Viridiplantae, Streptophyta, Magnoliopsida, Solanales, Solanaceae. The transcript is spliced from 3 exons.